Non-coding RNA from Camelina sativa (false flax), 1529 nucleotides. The record is from RefSeq and is a predicted model, not a curated record. NCBI's taxonomy places the organism in Eukaryota, Viridiplantae, Streptophyta, Magnoliopsida, Brassicales, Brassicaceae.
UUUUUAUUGUAGAACUGUUUUUUGGGUUGUUCUUGUGUGACGUGGCAUUGUCACCGAGUCCACAAGCGAACAUUAUCACACAACAAUGAACAUGACUUCGUCUUCUUCUUCAUCUGGUUCUUCUCUUCCACGACUCUGCUUCACCAAAUCCCAAACCUACAAGUCUCCUCUUUUACCAUUCUCCACUCCAAAACGCCGUCGUUCUCGUCCUCGCCGGAACCGUAAAUCCAAUGGCUCAUCUUACGACAACACCGACGGCAAUCUCCUCACACUCACCACUUCAUCUCCCGCCGGAAACGAAGACCAAAGCCUCAGCUUAACCCUAGACAUUCACCAGAUUUCAAAACUAGCUAAUUCCAGAUUCCAAUUGUUUCUCGAUUCAAGCAAAGACGCGUUCUCCGACUUGCAAACACUAAUCGCGCUUGACGAUAACCGGAGAGUCGUCGUUUCUUGCAAGAAAUCAACUAUGCAGUUCGUCGGCGGUGUGGUUAUGAUUGGAUUCGUGUUCGGUUUUGCAAUUAGGGUUCUUUUGAAAUUAGGAUCAGUCUUAAAGGGUAAUUUCCAAAGUAAUCCUAAAUUAGUUGUUAGGAGAGAUAGGAGUCUUGGUGGGAAGGAAGUGGUUGUCUCUGUUGAUAGUAUUCGUUCAUCUUCACGGGCUUCGAAUAGCUCAAUAGGUAGUGAACUCGAUGAGUGGCAAAUUUGAUAGUGUUUUGAUGAUGUUUAGCUAAAAUUUCCUGUAAUUUGGAUCUGUUUGAAUGUCUAUUCAACAUAUGCUGAGAAUUUGAUGUUGUUUCUUGUUUGUAUCCAUGAACAACAUCUGCUGAGAAUGUGUUCUUUAGAGUCCGUGAUGUUUGAUCCAUGUCUAUGUUUCGCUAUUUUGAGUGCUAAUGUUAUCGAUAGGUUGGAUUAGUGGAAGUGAGAUGUAAAGCACUAGACUUGCCCUUCUCUGCUCAGUUUCUACUGAGAUUCUACUUAUGCUUGUGCAAUGACUGCACUAUGAUCAUGUGUAGCUAACAGAAGGGAUCAGACCAUUCACAAUGCCGCUAAUGAGACUAGCAUGUACUGCACUUGGAAGGUAGUUUAUAUACGAAAUAAUGGAGCUUGAGUAGCUGAGUCAAUCCUAAGUUAGGAUGUUGGUGACAUUGUAUGUUGUGAUAGUCAUUGAAAGAAGUUUUAGUUUUAGAGUGUGUUUGAGCUAAUGUGUUCAUUUUCUCUCUCAAGUCGUCAUGUUGGGACUCCUCUGCACCAUGCUGCAAAAAGAGGUCUUGAGAACACUGUUAAGCUACUUCUUUCGCACGGUGGUAAAUGUGCAUCUACCGCAUUUGCAAGUUCAACAAAGAUCUGGAGCUCUUGGAGGCAGAGGCGAGGAAGAGAUCCAAGGAAGAGUAAAGGUUUUCUUUUAACUGCAUUUUUUACAUUCAAAUAUUACUGAACCGGAACGAAAUUUUGUUAAACAAACCUCAAGUAUGCUUCUCAACAACAUUUUGAUUAUGAAGCUAAGUUUGCAAAAAUAUAGAUACUUGUAAAUG